AGGACGGUCCGGGAGAGGGAGCGAAUGGUUCUGGGUCUACGAAUGAGCUGGCGAUGGCGUGCAUUGGAGAGCUGGUGCUGCCGGAGGAGACCUCCCCGCUGGGCACUGGAACUGGUUCUUUUGAUUGUCAAAGAGCUAGCUGGUAAGACUAUGUUGCAGGCGUCGGAUAAAUUGUGCUCGAGGUGGGCAAACCCUUGGGAGCACUCCAUUAUUAUUAAAAUAUACGAGGCUUCUUCGAUGGGGUUUUUCUUUUUGGAAAACAG
RNAcentral lists this long non-coding RNA (263 nucleotides) under Linum usitatissimum (flax). Its description in RNAcentral is "long non-coding RNA (LUSI_LNC005602)". Lineage: Eukaryota; Viridiplantae; Streptophyta; Magnoliopsida; Malpighiales; Linaceae. The record is from RNAcentral.